RNAcentral lists this ribosomal RNA (497 nucleotides) under uncultured bacterium. RNAcentral describes it as "partial 16S ribosomal RNA". It matches the Rfam family "Bacterial small subunit ribosomal RNA", at positions 28 to 507 of the family's 1533-position model. The record is from RNAcentral.
GACGAACGCUGGCGGCGUGCCUAAUACAUGCAAGUUGAGCGAUGAAGAUUGGUGCUUGCACCAAUUUGAAGAGCAGCGAACGGGUGAGUAACGCGUGGGGAAUCUGCCUUUGAGCGGGGGACAACAUUUGGAAACGAAUGCUAAUACCGCAUAACAACUUUAAACAUAAGUUUUAAGUUUGAAAGAUGCAAUUGCAUCACUCAAAGAUGAUCCCGCGUUGUAUUAGCUAGUUGGUGAGGUAAAGGCUCACCAAGGCGAUGAUACAUAGCCGACCUGAGAGGGUGAUCGGCCACAUGGGGACUGAGACACGGCCCAAACUCCUGCGGGAGGCAGCAGUAGGGAAUCUUCGGCAAUGGACGAAAGUCUGACCGAGCAACGCCGCGUGAGUGAAGAAGGUUGUCGGAUCGUAAAACUCUGUUGGUAGAGAAGAACGUUGGUGAGAGUGGAAAGCUCAUCAAGUGACGGUAACUACCCAGAAAGGGACGGCUAACUACGUG